GUGAGCAUAGUCCAGUUGGUAGGACAAUGAAUUAUUAUAUCCAGGGGACGGAGUUCGAACCUCGAACACCUCACG
Molecule: transfer RNA, 75 nt
Filed under: Medicago truncatula (barrel medic)
Lineage: Eukaryota; Viridiplantae; Streptophyta; Magnoliopsida; Fabales; Fabaceae
Description: tRNA gene37882
Source: RNAcentral